RNAcentral lists this non-coding RNA (29 nucleotides) under Rattus norvegicus (Norway rat). Lineage: Eukaryota; Metazoa; Chordata; Mammalia; Rodentia; Muridae. The record is from RNAcentral.
CCAGGGUGUAAUUACAGUUUCUCUUGGGC